Small nucleolar RNA from Sphaerodactylus townsendi, 130 nucleotides. RefSeq annotates it as U8 small nucleolar RNA. Lineage: Eukaryota; Metazoa; Chordata; Lepidosauria; Squamata; Sphaerodactylidae. The transcript has a single exon. The record is from RefSeq and is a predicted model, not a curated record.
UCGUCAGUGAGGUAUAUCCUUACCUGUUCCUCCUCCGGGAGAACAGAAGAUGAUGAAUGGAGAUGAAUGAGACAUGAUUAAGGUCUUCCCGGUUGAGGACAAGCAACACCUCAGCCGGCUCCUUUCUGAU